Ictalurus punctatus (channel catfish) is the source of this 2902-nucleotide long non-coding RNA. The record is from Ensembl. NCBI's taxonomy places the organism in Eukaryota, Metazoa, Chordata, Actinopteri, Siluriformes, Ictaluridae.
CACUCUGAGUCAGGCCUAGGUCAAAAGGUCAACAACGUAAAACCCAGUUCCGAUACAUUCCCGAGCACAAACACACCCCACACACACACUAGCAUGCAUACGAACCUGUUCAUAAAGUCGAGCACUUCGAAAGUUUUAACAUCGGAAAAGGUUCGACCGAAUUUCCAGAGUCUAUUCUUCACUACUUCCAGAAUCAAACACUUCGAAAGUUUGAACAUCGGCAAAGUUCAACAGAAUUUCCAGAGUCUAUCCUUCACUACUUCCAGACACCAUGGAUUUCUCGGCAGACAGCUUGGUGAUUAUUUCUGAUGAUGAGAUUCCCGAAACAACCACUCAUGGCCUUUUGAAUCUGAGCUCCACACAAUUUGAGGGAAACGUGACUAACAGUGAUUACGACGGAGAUAUUUCAGAUACGAGUGAUGCAAUAGAAGACCAAGAGGAGAUCAUCUCGGAAACCGACAUUCACAAGACAUCGAACUACAACGGAUCUGCGCAGUGUGGCGUGAAUUCUUCGAAGCAAGACUGAUUUAUUGGAAAACUUUGGACAGAUUGAUUAUACACUUGAAUCUGGUCGAGGUACAGAUUUUAUCCCUUUACUGUAUAGCACGCUUGAAAAUGUGAAUAGAACCAGAUUUCGCUGCACUGUGUUUCGGUAUCAACCGGUGACGACACACCCGAUCACAAAGAGAUCAUAAUUAUUGUUGCAUGUUCUUUACCAUAUAGCUUUCCCAUGAAUACCAACUCAACCCACUAUCCCCCCCAUCAGGUUGUUGGUUGUUUUCCCUGAGUCAGGCCUUGGUCAAAAAGGUCUAUGAUAAUUAUUGACACACACACACACACAUAUACGAACCUGUCUAUAAAAGCGAACACUUCGUUAGUUGGAAAAUUGGAAAAAUCAGCAAAGAGUCGAAUAGUUCGAAGGGAUCGACAGAAUUUCCAGACUCUAUCCUUCAAAACUUCCAGACACCAUGGAUUUCUCAGCAGGUAAGAAGAUGUAUUUUAAACAAUUGAAAUAGUUCAUUAUAAAUUGAAAUGCAAUGUUUAUGUAAUUAUCCAUUUGAUAUUGAUAUUGAUAUAAAUCUAAAACUAUUCUUUCUGAAUACAACAAUCAUCAUCCUUAUCUGGUCAUUAUGUAAACGGGUACGCUACUAUAUCUAAAUUUAGUGUUCAAUACACUUAUAUUACAGAGCAAGACCGAACUAAGCUCGUCUGAUUCUAGUGUAUAGGAUAACGUAUCAAACGAAUGCGAGUCUACAAGAUAACAGUGCCGUCAUAAUUUCUGACGAUGAAAUUUCCGAGACAUCUGAUCGAAGCCUUUUGAAUCUGAGCUCUACACGUAAGUCAUAACAUAAAAUUUUACAUGGUUUACAUGAAUAAGCAGAAAUGUAAUCAUGCUUUUCUUUCCUAUAGCACAAAUGAAAAUCCCUCUCUAGACGAGCAGAUUUGUCAGAUGAAACCUUUUCCUUCUUAUCCACUGCUACGGUAAACUAAAGAGUAGAUUUUCAAAUUACACUGCUAAAUAUGACUAGCAUUAGCUACGUGUAGUAGUGCAAAAAUAGUCCAUCAACUGUAUUAGCAGGUGUAGCCUAUACACGAGUCCACUGCUGGUCAUAUCACUAUUGAGAACGUGUCCCAAAUUCACUGCUUUAGUAGAAUUUAAUUGUAAGUGAAAUGAUGCUCACACUGUAAUGUCCUUUGUAUUUGUUCAGUCCACAGGUCCUCUAACACUCUGUUAAAUGAAUAAAUGUAAAUGUACUACAACGUAGAUUUUGUUUUAAAUCAAUUAAUGCAGAAAUUACACACAAUAUUAUCAACAUUAUUAUGUCAACACAACUCAUCAAAAUAAUGUGUACAACUUUAAAUAUUUAAUGAAUUCAAUAAAUUAGAAUUUUUAUCUUGCAACCACACAUUAAAUUUAGAUUGUGGGGGUUUGCUUUGUAUAGCGCCGCUGUUAGAAAAUACAUGAUGGUUGAACGUGAACAUAAAUGAGCAGAAUGUAAGCUUGUGAAAUAAAUGAAACUUUAUUGAUUGCAGUUUUGAGAAAAUGGCAUGACUUUGAAUAAAAAUUUACUGAAAUAAAUACUCUAAAACAUUGAUAUACCCGAAGAAAUGUAAAAAAAAAAAAAAAAAAAAAAAAAAAAAGUUUUUACAUACCUUCUAAAUAGGUCCCUUCAGGAGGUAAACGUUUUAAAGACGGUGUUUUAUAAGAAACGCGCGUAUUACAUGCCUUCUAAACCUAACCCUUUAGGAUGUGAAAUGUUUAAAGUGUUGCUUAAAAGAAUCGAGAGUUUUGUUUAAACUAGAAGACACAUUUUUCGGGCGAUGUCUUGUAGGCCCAUACACACUCUCCUACACAUGUGUUUUCCCGGGGUGACAGUUCUGUAGAUAGUGUAAAUUUUACAUUUAUGAGCUCUGGUGACAGUGUCUGAAGUGUGUGUGUAUGUGGGUGUGGGGGUGUGCGUGCGUGUGUGUGGGUGUGUUAGAAAGAGAGAGAGAGAGAGAGAAGAGAGAGAGAGAGAGAGAGAGAGAGAGAGAGAGAGAGAGAGAGAGAGUGAGUCAUGUGUUUCCUGGGGGUUUGCUGACCAGACUGCUUACAGUGUGUUUAUGUUAAUGAAAUAAGGGAUGAGUCGUGUGUUUCAGGGUUUAACGAUCCCUACCAAUGUGUACAUUUGUGGUUUAAGUGAAUCUUUGUUUCUGAAAUUACUUCUGUCGUAAUUAUCAGUUCGUGUAACUAAUCUAUCAGAAAAUACUAGACCUGGUGACUGAAUGUGGUAGAUGUAUUAGAAUUUUGGACAUGUUAUGCAUGUGUAGCGUAUACCUGUGUACCCUAUGUGUAUGAUCUAUGUGUAAUCCUUCUGUCAAGAGAUGAACAGACUGAGGUUUGUGAAAUAAUUGAACGAUU